AGUGAGCGGGAUGAGCUCAAAUUUAAAAUCUGGCUGGUUUACUAGUCCGAAUUGUAGUUUAUAGAAGCGUUUUCGGUGGCAGCCUGGGUAUAAAUCCUUUGGAAUAGGGUAUCAUAGAGGGUGAGAAUCCCGUCUUUGACUCAGUGCAUGCUACUAUGUGAUACGUUUUCAAAGAGUCGAGUUGUUUGGGAAUGCAGCUCAAAAUGGGUGGUAAAUUUCAUCUAAAGCUAAAUAUUGGCGAGAGACCGAUAGCGAACAAGUACCGUGAGGGAAAGAUGAAAAGAACUUUGAAAAGAGAGUUAAACAGUGCGUGAAAUUGUUGAAAGGGAAACGCUUGACACCAGUCAUGCGAGUGGAAAAUCAGUCUUUUGCAAUGGGGAGUUGUGGGCGUUCAGACCGCAAGGCUGGCGUUUGCUUCAUCUUUGUUGUAAGUGAUGCACUUUUUCAUUUGCAGGUCAACAUCAGUUUGCUUUGCUGGACAAAACCCCAAGGGAAGGUGGCAGCUUAGGCUGUGUUAUAGCCCUGGGGCGAUACAGUGGAGUGGACUGAGGUUUUCGCAGUGUGUGCUCUCUGGGCAAGGCUGACUGGGUGCUAUGGGAUCGUUCGGCGUACAAUGCAUGCAUUUUGCGUCGUGUCUUUUUCAUACUCGCUCAACUCGGCUCUUCCACACUUAGGA
This 676-nucleotide ribosomal RNA is filed under the name Mortierella sp. FSU 10459. RNAcentral describes it as "eukaryotic LSU rRNA". It matches the Rfam family "Eukaryotic large subunit ribosomal RNA", at positions 92 to 618 of the family's 3401-position model. The record is from RNAcentral. Lineage: Eukaryota; Fungi; Mortierellomycota; Mortierellomycetes; Mortierellales; Mortierellaceae.